AUGCGUGCGCAGCACCGCCUCUGCGGCGCUCGGCGAGGACACCACGAGCGUCGGGACGGCGCCGAGGCGGAGGAGCAUGAGGCCGUCGCGGCCAUGCUUGGCGGCGAGGUCUCGGAGGGAGAUGUGCGGGAGGGAGCCGACGAGGUGAAGGUGGCCGAUGACGGGGAGCCUCUUGCUGGGAGAAGGCAGCCUGCUCAGCAGCUCUUCUCUGGCUCUCGUGGUGACCGCGGCCGUCGACGGCGUCGCGAGGCGGCGCACGACCAGGAGGACAAGAAGAGGGCAGACGAGCAGGACAAAGACCAGUCCUAG
This 309-nucleotide ribosomal RNA is filed under the name Triticum aestivum (bread wheat). Its description in RNAcentral is "partial small subunit ribosomal RNA". Lineage: Eukaryota; Viridiplantae; Streptophyta; Magnoliopsida; Poales; Poaceae. The record is from RNAcentral.